RNAcentral lists this ribosomal RNA (561 nucleotides) under uncultured bacterium. Its description in RNAcentral is "bacterial SSU rRNA". It matches the Rfam family "Bacterial small subunit ribosomal RNA", at positions 921 to 1482 of the family's 1533-position model. The record is from RNAcentral.
CCGCACAAGCGGUGGAUGAUGUGGUUUAAUUCGAUGCAACGCGAAAAACCUUACCCACCUUUGACAUGGCAGGAACUUACCAGAGAUGGUUUGGUGCUCGAAAGAGAACCUGCACACAGGUGCUGCAUGGCUGUCGUCAGCUCGUGUCGUGAGAUGUUGGGUUAAGUCCCGCAACGAGCGCAACCCUUGCCAUUAGUUGCUACAUUCAGUUGAGCACUCUAAUGGGACUGCCGGUGACAAACCGGAGGAAGGUGGGGAUGACGUCAAGUCCUCAUGGCCCUUAUAGGUGGGGCUACACACGUCAUACAAUGGCUGGUACAAAGGGUUGCCAACCCGCGAGGGGGAGCUAAUCCCAUAAAGCCAGUCGUAGUCCGGAUCGCAGUCUGCAACUCGACUGCGUGAAGUCGGAAUCGCUAGUAAUCGUGGAUCAGAAUGUCACGGUGAAUACGUUCCCGGGUCUUGUACACACCGCCCGUCACACCAUGGGAGCGGGUCUCGCCAGAAGUAGGUAGCCUAACCGCAAGGAGGGCGCUUACCACGGCGGGGUUCGUGACUGGGGUG